CUCCGGUUGAUCCUGCCGGACCCGACUGCUAUCAGAGUGGGACUAAGCCAUGCGAGUCAACAUAGCAAUAUGUGGCAUACGGCUCAGUAACACGUAGUCAACAUGCCCAGGGGACGUGGAUAACCUCGGGAAACUGAGGAUAAACCGCGAUAGGUCAUCACUUCUGGAAUGGGUAAUGACUUAAAUCUAUAUGGCCCCUGGAUUGGACUGCGGCCGAUCAGGCUGUUGGUGAGGUAAUGGCCCACCAAACCUGUAACCGGUACGGGCUCUGAGAGGGGGAGCCCGGAGAUGGGCACUGAGACAAGGGCCCAGGCCCUAUGGGGCGCAGCAGGCGCGAAACCUCUGCAAUAGGCGAAAGCUUGACAGGGUUACUCUGAGUGAUUUCCGUUAAGGAGAUCUUUUGGCACCUCUAAAAAUGGUGCAGAAUAAGGGGUGGGCAAGUCUGGUGUCAGCCGCCGCGGUAAUACCAGCACCCCGAGUGGUCGGGACGUUUAUUGGGCCUAAAGCAUCCGUAGCCGGUUCUACAAGUCUUCCGUUAAAUCCACCUGCUUAACAGAUGGGCUGCGGAAGAUACUAUAGAGCUAGGAGGCGGGAGAGGCAAGCGGUACUCGAUGGGUAGGGGUAAAAUCCGUUGAUCCAUUGAAGACCACCAGUGGCGAAGGCGGCUUGCCAGAACGCGCUCGACGGUGAGGGAUGAAAGCUGGGGGAGCAAACCGGAUUAGAUACCCGGGUAGUCCCAGCUGUAAACGAUGCAGACUCGGUGAUGAGUUGGCUUAUUGCUAACUCAGUGCCGCAGGGAAGCCGUUAAGUUUGCCGCCUGGGGAGUACGGUCGCAAGACUGAAACUUAAAGGAAUUGGCAGGGGAGCA
RNAcentral lists this ribosomal RNA (868 nucleotides) under uncultured archaeon. RNAcentral describes it as "bacterial SSU rRNA". It matches the Rfam family "Archaeal small subunit ribosomal RNA", at positions 1 to 878 of the family's 1478-position model. The record is from RNAcentral.